UGUGUGUGUGUGUGAGAGAGUGAUAGAGAGAGAGAGAGAGAGAGAGUACGAAAUCACUCUGGCAUCAAGAUUCCCAUAUCUUCCCUGGAAAUAAGCAGUUUGAAAUCGUGUAAAUGCGACACCCACUUUGAG
Rhodamnia argentea is the source of this 132-nucleotide long non-coding RNA. RefSeq lists it as uncharacterized. NCBI's taxonomy places the organism in Eukaryota, Viridiplantae, Streptophyta, Magnoliopsida, Myrtales, Myrtaceae. The transcript is spliced from 3 exons. The record is from RefSeq and is a predicted model, not a curated record.